Molecule: ribosomal RNA, 798 nt
Filed under: uncultured bacterium
Lineage: Bacteria
Description: bacterial SSU rRNA
Rfam family: Bacterial small subunit ribosomal RNA
Source: RNAcentral
AGAGUUUGAUCCUGGCUCAGGACGAACGCUGGCGGCGUGCCUAAUACAUGCAAGUCGAGCGCGGGAAGCAAACAGAUCUCCUUCGGGAGUGACGUUUGUGGAACGAGCGGCGGAUGGGUGAGUAUCACGUGGGCAACCUGCCUGUAAGAUCGGGAUAACUCGCGGAAACGUGAGCUAAUACCGGAUGAAGUCUUACGCCACCUGGCGUAAGGAUGAAAGAUGGCCUUUGUGCUAUCACUUACAGAUGGGCCCGCGGCGCAUUAGCUAGUUGGUAGGGUAAUGGCCUACCAAGCCGACGAUCAGUAGCCGACCUGAGAGGGUGACCGGCCACAUUGGGACUGAGACACGGCCCAAACUCCUACGGGAGGCAGCAGUGGGGAAUAUUGCACAAUGGGGGAAACCCUGAUGCAGCGACGCCGCGUGAGUGAAGAAGUAUUUCGGUAUGUAAAGCUCUAUCAGCAGGGAAGAAAAUGACGGUACCUGACUAAGAAGCCCCGGCUAACUACGUGCCAGCAGCCGCGGUAAUACGUAGGGGGCAAGCGUUAUCCGGAUUUACUGGGUGUAAAGGGAGCGUAGACGGCAAAGCAAGUCCGAAGUGAAAGCCCGGGGCUUAACCUCGGGACUGCUUUGGAAACUGUUUAGCUAGAGUGCCGGAGAGGUAAGCGGAAUUCCUAGUGUAGCGGUGAAAUGCGUAGAUAUUAGGAGGAACACCAGUGGCGAAGGCGGCUUACUGGACGGUAACUGACGUUGAGGCUCGAAAGCGUGGGGAGCAAACAGGAUUAGAUACCCUGGUAGUCC